RNAcentral lists this transfer RNA (76 nucleotides) under Nitrospirota bacterium. RNAcentral describes it as "Nitrospirae bacterium (marine sediment metagenome) tRNA-Asp". It matches the Rfam family "tRNA". From Rfam's summary of the family: Transfer RNA (tRNA) molecules are approximately 80 nucleotides in length. Their secondary structure includes four short double-helical elements and three loops (D, anti-codon, and T loops). Further hydrogen bonds mediate the characteristic L-shaped molecular structure. tRNAs have two regions of fundamental functional importance: the anti-codon, which is responsible for specific mRNA codon recognition, and the 3' end, to which the tRNAs corresponding amino acid is attached (by aminoacyl-tRNA synthetases). tRNAs cope with the degeneracy of the genetic code in two manners: having more than one tRNA (with a specific anti-codon) for a particular amino acid; and 'wobble' base-pairing, i.e. permitting non-standard base-pairing at the 3rd anti-codon position. The record is from RNAcentral. RNAcentral also lists the same sequence under 1 other name. Lineage: Bacteria; Pseudomonadati; Nitrospirota.
GGGGCUGUAGUUUAACGGUAAAAUGCUCUGGCCUGUCACCCGAGAGAUGCGAGUUCAAAUCUCGUCGGCUCCACCA